RNAcentral lists this ribosomal RNA (1215 nucleotides) under Paragastrozona japonica. Its description in RNAcentral is "partial 16S ribosomal RNA". Lineage: Eukaryota; Metazoa; Arthropoda; Insecta; Diptera; Tephritidae. The record is from RNAcentral.
GCAAAUCAAUAUAAAUUGAUUUGUUAAUAUUUAUUUAUUAAUUUUUUUUUUUAUUUAAUUAAUAUAUUAAAAAUAAUUAUAUAAUUUAAUGUUUUAGUAAUUUUUUAUGAAAAAAUAAUAUUAAUAAUAGUGAAAUAAGUAUUGUGAAAGAUGAUUGAAAUAUUUUGAAAAAUUUUUAUUUUAAAAGAAAAUUUAGUUUAUUGACCUUGUGUAUCAGGGUUUAUCAAAUAAUUAAUAAUUAAUUUAUUAAUCUCGAUUUUAUAAGAGUUAAUAAUUUAUGAGAGUUAAUGUGUUAAAAUUAUUUUAAAUAAAUUAUUAGAAAUGAAAUGUUAUUCGUUUAUAAAGGUAUCUAGUUUUUUUAGAAAUAAAUUUAAUUUACAAAUUUUUAAUUUUUUGGUUAUUUAUUUAAUUUAAAAAUUUAUUAAUUUGAAUAUUUUAAGGGAUAAGCUUUAAAAUAAAUUAUUAAAAAUUAAUAAUAAAAAUAUAAAAAUGUAUGUUUAGAAUUAGCAAUCAUUAAUAAAUUUGUUAUAAAUUAUUUUAUAAUUUAUAUUAUUUAUUAUAUUUUAAUUUAUUUAUAAAAAUUUUUUUAUUAAUAUAUUAUAAUAAGUAAUAAUGAUAGAAUUAGUAUAUAUUUAUGUUUAAAUAAUUUUAUAUGAUAAGUUUAUAUAAAGAACUCGGCAAAUAAUUUACUCGCCUGUUUAACAAAAACAUGUCUUUUUGAGUUAUUUUUAAAGUCUGACCUGCCCACUGAAUAAUUUUAAAUGGCCGCAGUAUUCUAACUGUGCAAAGGUAGCAUAAUCAUUAGUCUUUUAAUUGAAGGCUGGUAUGAACGGUUGGACGAAGUAUAAGCUGUUUCAUAUAAAUUUAUAAUAGAAUUUUAUAUUUUAGUUAAAAAGCUAAAAUUUUAUUAAAAGACGAGAAGACCCUAUAAAUCUUUAUAUUUUAUAUUAUUUAGAUUUUUUGGAUUAAUUUUAUUUUUAUAAUAUAAAAUAUUUUGUUGGGGUGAUAUUAAAAUUUAAUGAACUUUUAAUUUAUUUAAAUCAUUAAUUUAUGAAUUAUUGAUCCGUUAAUAACGAUUAUAAGAUUAAGUUACUUUAGGGAUAACAGCGUAAUUUUUUUUGAGAGUUCAUAUCGACAAAAAAGUUUGCGACCUCGAUGUUGGAUUAAGAUAUAUUUUUAGGUGUAGCUGCUUAAAUGUUAAGUCUGUUCGACUUU